UGGGGAUGACGUCAAGUCCUCAUGGCCCUUAUGGGUAGGGCUUCACACGUCAUACAAUGGUCGGUACAGAGGGUUGCCAACCCGCGAGGGGGAGCUAAUCCCACAAAGCCGAUCGUAGUCCGGAUCGCAGUCUGCAACUCGACUGCGUGAAGUCGGAAUCGCUAGUAAUCGUGGAUCAGCAUGUCACGGUGAAUACGUUCCCGGGUCUU
RNAcentral lists this ribosomal RNA (209 nucleotides) under uncultured Rhodocyclaceae bacterium. Its description in RNAcentral is "partial 16S ribosomal RNA". It matches the Rfam family "Bacterial small subunit ribosomal RNA", at positions 1174 to 1382 of the family's 1533-position model. The record is from RNAcentral. Lineage: Bacteria; Pseudomonadati; Pseudomonadota; Betaproteobacteria; Rhodocyclales; Rhodocyclaceae.